GUGAAUCAUCAAAUCUUUGAACGCAAAUUGCACUCUCUGGUAUUCCGGAGAGUAUGCCUGUUUGAGGGUCAGUUUAAAUAAAAAUCGGUGUGGUUGCUGCCUUUCGUGGUGACGUACCGGAUUUGGGUCGUCUUGCCUUCGGUUAAGUGACCUAAAAUUUUGCAUGAUUUUUUCGAACGUAUUUAAAUGACUUUACUAAGUUUUGGAAUACGGAAUACUAGGUUUGGUAAUCC
RNAcentral lists this unclassified non-coding RNA (233 nucleotides) under Glomus sp. Its description in RNAcentral is "partial contains 5.8S ribosomal RNA and internal transcribed spacer 2". The stretch from base 1 to 71 matches the Rfam family "5.8S ribosomal RNA", at positions 84 to 154 of the family's 154-position model. The record is from RNAcentral. Lineage: Eukaryota; Fungi; Glomeromycota; Glomeromycetes; Glomerales; Glomeraceae.